This 531-nucleotide ribosomal RNA is filed under the name uncultured bacterium. Its description in RNAcentral is "bacterial SSU rRNA". It matches the Rfam family "Bacterial small subunit ribosomal RNA", at positions 8 to 526 of the family's 1533-position model. The record is from RNAcentral.
AGAGUUUGAUCCUGGCUCAGGACGAACGCUGGCGGCGCGCUUAAUACAUGCAAGUCGAGCGAGAACCAGAGCUUCGGCUCUGGGGACAGCGGCGAACGGGUGAGUAACACGUGAGUAAUCUGCCCUCGGCACCGGGAUAGCCCGGGGAAACCCGGAUUAAUACCGGAUGGCCUCUCGAGCUUUCGGGCUCGUGAGAAAAGGUAGCUUCGGCCUCCGGCCGAGGAGGAGCUCGCGGCGGAUUAGCUUGUUGGUGAGGUAACGGCUCACCAAGGCGACGAUCCGUAGCUGGUCUGAGAGGAUGAUCAGCCACACUGGGACUGAGACACGGCCCAGACUCCUACGGGAGGCAGCAGUAGGGAAUCUUGCGCAAUGGGCGAAAGCCUGACGCAGCGACGCCGCGUGCGGGAAGAAGGCCUUCGGGUUGUAAACCGCUUUCAGGAGGGACGAAGCUACUCGGGUUAAUAGCCCAGAGGGUGACGGUACCUCCAGAAGAAGCCCCGGCUAACUACGUGCCAGCAGCGGCGGUAAUAC